CCUACGGGGGGCUGCAGCAGGGAAUAUUGCACAAUGGGCGAAAGCCUGAUGCAGCGACGCCGCGUGAGGGAUGAAGGCCUCCGGGUUGUAAACCUCUUUCAGGAGGGACGAAGCGCAAGUGACGGUACCUCCAGAAGAAGCCCCGGCCAACUACGUGCCAGCAGCCGCGGUAAUACGUAGGGGGCAAGCGUUGUCCGGAUUUAUUGGGCGUAAAGAGCUCGUAGGCGGCUCGGUAAGUCGGCCGUGAAAUCCCGGAGCGCAACUCCGGGAGGCCGGGCGAUACUGCCGUGGCUAGGGUCCGGUAGAGGAGAGUGGAAUUCCCGGUGUAGCGGUGAAAUGCGCAGAUAUCGGGAGGAACACCCGUAGCGAAGGCGGCUCUCUGGGCCGGCACCGACGCUGAGGAGCGAAAGCUAGGGGAGCAAACAGGAUUAGAUACCCGAGUAGUCAA
RNAcentral lists this ribosomal RNA (448 nucleotides) under uncultured bacterium. RNAcentral's name for it is "bacterial SSU rRNA". It matches the Rfam family "Bacterial small subunit ribosomal RNA", at positions 338 to 797 of the family's 1533-position model. The record is from RNAcentral.